This 253-nucleotide ribosomal RNA is filed under the name uncultured bacterium. RNAcentral describes it as "partial 16S ribosomal RNA". It matches the Rfam family "Bacterial small subunit ribosomal RNA", at positions 524 to 776 of the family's 1533-position model. The record is from RNAcentral.
UACGUAGGUGGCAAGCGUUGUCCGGAUUUACUGGGCGUAAAGAGCGCGCAGGCGGUCAGAUAAGUCGAAUGUGAAAGCCCCCGGCUCAACUGGGGAGGGUCAUUCGAUACUGUUCGACUUGAAGGCAGGAGAGGGAAGUGGAAUUCCCGGUGUAGUGGUGAAAUGCGUAGAUAUCGGGAGGAACACCAGUGGCGAAGGCGACUUCCUGGCCUGUUCUUGACGCUGAGGCGCGAAAGCUAGGGGAGCAAACGGG